Molecule: ribosomal RNA, 246 nt
Filed under: uncultured bacterium
Lineage: Bacteria
Description: partial 16S ribosomal RNA
Rfam family: Bacterial small subunit ribosomal RNA
Source: RNAcentral
GAUCAUGGCUCAGGACGAACGCUGGCGGCGUGCUUAACACAUGCAAGUCGAACGGGAUUUAGUAGACAGAAGCUUCGGUGGAAGAUUACUAAUGAGAGUGGCGAACGGGUGAGUAACGCGUGAGCAACCUGCCUAUGACAGUGGGAUAGCCUCGGGAAACCGGGAUUAAUACCGCAUAAAAUCGUAGAAACACAUGUUUUAACGGUCAAAGAUUUAUCGGUCAUAGAUGGGCUCGCGUCUGAUUAG